This 492-nucleotide ribosomal RNA is filed under the name uncultured bacterium. RNAcentral's name for it is "partial 16S ribosomal RNA". It matches the Rfam family "Bacterial small subunit ribosomal RNA", at positions 29 to 507 of the family's 1533-position model. The record is from RNAcentral.
AGUGAACGCUGGCGGUAGGCCUAACACAUGCAAGUCGAACGGCAGCACAGUAAGAGCUUGCUCUUACGGGUGGCGAGUGGCGGACGGGUGAGGAAUACAUCGGAAUCUACUUUUUCGUGGGGGAUAACGUAGGGAAACUUACGCUAAUACCGCAUACGACCUACGGGUGAAAGCAGGGGAUCUUCGGACCUUGCGCGAUUGAAUGAGCCGAUGUCGGAUUAGCUAGUUGGCGGGGUAAAGGCCCACCAAGGCGACGAUCCGUAGCUGGUCUGAGAGGAUGAUCAGCCACCUUGGAACGGAGACACGGUCAAGGCUCCUACGGGAGGCAGCAGUGGGGAAUAUUGGACAAUGGGCGCAAGCCUGAUCCAGCCAUACCGCGUGGGUGAAGAAGGCCUUCGGGUUGUAAAGCCCUUUUGUUGGGAAAGAAAAGCAGCAGGUUAAUACCCCGCUGUUCUGACGGUACCCAAAGAAUAAGCACCGGCUAACUUCGUG